Non-coding RNA from Oncorhynchus mykiss (rainbow trout), 516 nucleotides. The record is from RefSeq and is a predicted model, not a curated record. NCBI's taxonomy places the organism in Eukaryota, Metazoa, Chordata, Actinopteri, Salmoniformes, Salmonidae.
AAUAAUUCCCCAUCAAUACUUUAAAUUAUAUAUGUAGUAUUUAAUGUGUAUAUUUAUAUUGUACUAUACAGGGCGCAUUUGGAAAAGAGACAUACGUCUCAAUAUGUCUUCCCUGUCAAAAUAAAGGUUAAAUAAAUAUAUACAAUUCAUGAAAUAUAGGUGGGAGGGCGUACAGGCUGUGGUCAAUUUAUUAAUGAACAGAUAGGUGGGAGGGCGUACAGGCUGUGGUCAAUUUAUUAAUGAACAGAUAGGUGGGAGGACAUACAGGCUGUGGUCAAUUUAUUAAUGAACAGAUAGGUGGGAGGGCGUACAGGCUGUGGUCAAUUUAUUAAUGAACAGAUAGGUGGGAGGGCGUACAGGCUGUGGUCAAUUUAUUAAUUAACAGAUAGGUGGGAGGGCGUACAGGCUGUGGUCAAUUUAUUAAUGAACAGAUAGGUGGGAGGACAUACAGGCUGUGGUCAAUUUAUUAUACAAAACAUGGGUGAAAGGGUGUACAAUUUAUUAAUGAAACAUGGU